AUUGAACGCUGGCGGCAUGCUUUACACAUGCAAGUCGAACGGGCUUGGGGGCUUGCUCCCAAGUUAGUGGCGAACGGGUGAGUAAUACAUCGGAACGUACCGUGUAGUGGGGGAUAACGUAGCGAAAGUUACGCUAAUACCGCAUACGAUCUACGGAUGAAAGCAGGGGACCUUCGGGCCUUGUGCUAUACGAGCGGCCGAUGUCUGAUUAGCUGGUUGGUGAGGUAAAGGCUCACCAAGGCGACGAUCAGUAGCGGGUCUGAGAGGAUGAUCCGCCACACUGGGACUGAGACACGGCCCAGACUCCUACGGGAGGCAGCAGUGGGGAAUUUUGGACAAUGGGGGCGAACCCUGAUCACGCCAUUCCGCGUGCGUGAAGAAGGCCCUAGGGUUGUAAAGCACUUCAAUU
RNAcentral lists this ribosomal RNA (409 nucleotides) under uncultured bacterium. Its description in RNAcentral is "bacterial SSU rRNA". It matches the Rfam family "Bacterial small subunit ribosomal RNA", at positions 30 to 440 of the family's 1533-position model. The record is from RNAcentral.